This 463-nucleotide ribosomal RNA is filed under the name uncultured bacterium. Its description in RNAcentral is "partial 16S ribosomal RNA". It matches the Rfam family "Bacterial small subunit ribosomal RNA", at positions 339 to 795 of the family's 1533-position model. The record is from RNAcentral.
CUACGGGAUGCUCCAGUGGGGAAUAUUGGACAAUGGACGAAAGUCCGAUCCAGCGACACCGCGUGGGGGAUGAAGGCUUUCGGGUUGUAAACCCCUUUUCUGGAGGAAGAAUAAGGUUGGGAGGAAAUGCCCAUCCGAUGACGGUACUCCAGGAAUAAGCAUCGGCAAACUUCGUGCCAGCAGCCGCGGUAAGGCGAAGGAUGCGAGCGUUAUCGGAAUUACUGGGCGUAAAGGACGUCUAGGCGGUUGGAUAAGUCAUUUGUGAAAUCCCAGGGCUUAACCCUGGAAGGUCUUGUGAUACUGUUCGGCUUGGGUGUAGGAGAGGAGAGCGGAACUCACAGAGUAGCGGUGGAAUGCGUAGAUACCGUGAGGUACCCCGAUGGCGAAGGCAGCUCUCUGGCCUACUACCGACGCUGAAGCGUGAAAGCGUGGGGAGCAAAGGGGAUUAGAUACCCCCGUAGUC